Molecule: long non-coding RNA, 490 nt
Organism: Cyprinus carpio carpio
Lineage: Eukaryota; Metazoa; Chordata; Actinopteri; Cypriniformes; Cyprinidae
Source: Ensembl
GCCGAGGCGGUGCCCGAUGCUGUUCCGGAGGCCGAGGCGGUGCCCGAUGCUGUUCCGGAGGCCGAGGCGGUGCCUGAUGCCGAGGCGGUGCCCGAUGCUGUUCCGGAGGCCGAGGCGGUGCCCGAUGCCGAGGCGGUGCCCGAUGCGGUUCCGGAGGCCGAGGCGGUGCCCGAUGCUGUUCCGGAGGCCGAGGCGGUGCCCGAUGCUGUUCCGGAGGCCGAGGCGGUGCCCGAUGCUGUGCCGGAGGCCGAGGCGGUGCCCGAUGCUGUGCCGGAGGCCGAGGCGGUGCCCGAUGCGGUGCCGGGGGCCGAGGCGGUGCCCGAUGCUGUUCCGGAGGCCGAGGCGGUGCCCGAUGCUGUUCCGGAGGCCGAGGCGGUGCCCGAUGCCGUGCCCGAGAUGGUUCCCGAGGCUGUUCCCGAUGUGGUGCCCAAGGCCGAGGCGGGGUCCACAGGCCGACCAGAGCAUCUUCACGUCUCCACAGGCCGUCCAG